AUCACCGGGGGUGCCCUUGUCGGGCUGAGAGAUACCCUAAGAACCUGAUCUGGUUAAUCCCAGCGGAGGGAGCGUG
RNAcentral lists this non-coding RNA (76 nucleotides) under uncultured Aquitalea sp. RNAcentral's name for it is "TPP riboswitch (THI element)". It matches the Rfam family "TPP riboswitch aptamer (THI element)", at positions 7 to 92 of the family's 105-position model. Rfam says of the family: Vitamin B(1) in its active form thiamin pyrophosphate (TPP) is an essential coenzyme that is synthesised by coupling of pyrimidine and thiazole moieties in bacteria. The previously detected thiamin-regulatory element, thi box was extended, resulting in a new, highly conserved RNA secondary structure, the THI element, which is widely distributed in eubacteria and also occurs in some archaea. Analysis of operon structures identified a large number of new candidate thiamin-regulated genes, mostly transporters, in various prokaryotic organisms. Lineage: Bacteria; Pseudomonadati; Pseudomonadota; Betaproteobacteria; Neisseriales; Chromobacteriaceae. The record is from RNAcentral.